RNAcentral lists this ribosomal RNA (493 nucleotides) under uncultured bacterium. RNAcentral describes it as "bacterial SSU rRNA". It matches the Rfam family "Bacterial small subunit ribosomal RNA", at positions 30 to 518 of the family's 1533-position model. The record is from RNAcentral.
UGAACGCUGGCGGCGUGCCUAACACAUGCAAGUCGAACGAAGCACUUUGGUUUGAGAUUCGUCAAGAACCGGAUUUGACUUAGUGGCGGACGGGUGAGUAAUGUAUGAGCAACCUGCCUUUCAGAGGGGGACAACAGUUGGAAACGACUGCUAAUACCGCAUAAUGUACAUUGAAGGCAUCUUUGAUGUACCAAAGGAGCAAUCCGCUGAAAGAUGGGCUCAUAUCUGAUUAGUUAGUUGGCAGGGUAACGGCCUACCAAGACUGCGAUCAGUAGCCGGACUGAGAGGUUGAACGGCCACAUUGGGACUGAGAUACGGCCCAGACUCCUACGGGAGGCAGCAGUGGGGAAUAUUGGGCAAUGGGCGAAAGCCUGACCCAAGCAACGCCGCGUGAAGGAAGAAGGUCUUCGGAUUGUAAACUUCUUUUAUGAGGGACGAAGGACGUGACGGUACCUCAUGAAUAAGCCACGGCUAACUACGUGCCAGCAGCAGC